Molecule: ribosomal RNA, 537 nt
Filed under: Bifidobacterium longum subsp. infantis
Lineage: Bacteria; Bacillati; Actinomycetota; Actinomycetes; Bifidobacteriales; Bifidobacteriaceae
Also listed under: 1 other name
Description: bacterial SSU rRNA
Rfam family: Bacterial small subunit ribosomal RNA
Source: RNAcentral
CUCCUGGGAAACGGGUGGUAAUGCCGGAUGCUCCAGUUGAUCGCAUGGUCUUCUGGGAAAGCUUUCGCGGUAUGGGAUGGGGUCGCGUCCUAUCAGCUUGACGGCGGGGUAACGGCCCACCGUGGCUUCGACGGGUAGCCGGCCUGAGAGGGCGACCGGCCACAUUGGGACUGAGAUACGGCCCAGACUCCUACGGGAGGCAGCAGUGGGGAAUAUUGCACAAUGGGCGCAAGCCUGAUGCAGCGACGCCGCGUGAGGGAUGGAGGCCUUCGGGUUGUAAACCUCUUUUAUCGGGGAGCAAGCGAGAGUGAGUUUACCCGUUGAAUAAGCACCGGCUAACUACGUGCCAGCAGCCGCGGUAAUACGUAGGGUGCAAGCGUUAUCCGGAAUUAUUGGGCGUAAAGGGCUCGUAGGCGGUUCGUCGCGUCCGGUGUGAAAGUCCAUCGCUUAACGGUGGAUCCGCGCCGGGUACGGGCGGGCUUGAGUGCGGUAGGGGAGACUGGAAUUCCCGGUGUAACGGUGGAAUGUGUAGAUAUC